RNAcentral lists this ribosomal RNA (467 nucleotides) under uncultured soil bacterium. RNAcentral's name for it is "bacterial SSU rRNA". It matches the Rfam family "Bacterial small subunit ribosomal RNA", at positions 26 to 479 of the family's 1533-position model. The record is from RNAcentral.
AGAUUGAACGCUAGCGGGAUGCUUUACACAUGCAGGUCGAACGGCAGCGCGGACUUCGGUCUGGCGGCGAGUGGCGAACGGGUGAGUAAUAUAUCGGAACGUGCCCAGUAGCGGGGGGAUAACUACGCGAAAGCGUGGCUAAUACCGCAUACGCCCUACGGGGGAAAGGGGGGGAUCGCAAGACCUCUCACUAUUGGAGCGGCCGAUAUCAGAUUAGCUAGUUGGUGAGGUAAAGGCUCACCAAGGCGACGAUCUGUAGCUGGUUUGAGAGGACGACCAGCCACACUGGGACUGAGACACGGCCCAGACUCCUACGGGAGGCAGCAGGUGGGAAUUCUGGACAAGUGGGGGAAACCCUGAUCCAGCCAUCCCGCGUGUGCGAGUGAAGGCCUUCGGGUUGUAAAGCACGUUUUGGCAGGGAACGAAACGGCGCCGGCCUAAGUACCGGGCGUCACCGUGACGGUACC